GAAAAUACAACUUUAUAAAAAUGGAAAUGACUAAAUGUUGAGUCUUGAAUGAAUAUGCCACCAUCCCUAAUGCUCCAANUGAUGUUUCCCAAAAUUUCCCUACAACCAAAAUACACUUAAUCAGCUCAGAAAACCCAAAUUAGCACAAUUACAAAUUCCCAACCAAAUUAAGCAGAAUUCGGAAAACGGGGAAAUAACAGACAAUUAAAC
RNAcentral lists this long non-coding RNA (210 nucleotides) under Vigna radiata. RNAcentral describes it as "long non-coding RNA (VRAD_LNC006555)". The record is from RNAcentral. Lineage: Eukaryota; Viridiplantae; Streptophyta; Magnoliopsida; Fabales; Fabaceae.